Molecule: unclassified non-coding RNA, 193 nt
Filed under: uncultured Amphinema
Lineage: Eukaryota; Fungi; Basidiomycota; Agaricomycetes; Atheliales; Atheliaceae
Description: partial internal transcribed spacer 2
Source: RNAcentral
AAUCAUCAACCCCACCGAUUUGUUUCGGCUUGGGGCUUGGACUUGGAGCGUGCUGGCGAAGGUCGGCUCCUCUUUAAAUGCAUCAGCGGAAGAAUGCAUCUUUUUUCCCUUCAGCGUGAUAAUCCUGUUGCGCUGUGUGUGGGUCAAAGGUGUUCCGCUUAUAAUCGUCCUUCGGACAAACGAACCCAUCUAU